AGCGCGCGUAGGUGGCCAAUUAAGUCAAAUGUGAAAUCCCCGAGCUUAACUUGGGAAUUGCAUUCGAUACUGGUUGGCUAGAGUAUGGGAGAGGAUGGUAGAAUUCCAGGUGUAGCGGUGAAAUGCGUAGAGAUCUGGAGGAAUACCGAUGGCGAAGGCAGCCAUCUGGCCUAAUACUGACACUGAGGUGCGAAAGCAUGGGGAGCAAACAGGAUUAGAUACCCUGGUAGUCCAUGCCGUAAACGAUGUCUACUAGCCGUUGGGGCCUUUGAGGCUUUAGUGGCGCAGCUAACGCGAUAAGUAGACCGCCUGGGGAGUACGGUCGCAAGACUAAAACUCAAAUGAAUUGACGGGGGCCCGCACAAGCGGUGGAGCAUGUGGUUUAAUUCGAUGCAACGCGAAGAACCUUACCUGGUCUUGACAUAGUAAGAACUUUCCAGAGAUGGAUUGGUGCCUUCGGGAACUUACAUACAGGUGCUGCAUGGCUGUCGUCAGCUCGUGUCGUGAGAUGUUGGGUUAAGUCCCGCAACGAGCGCAACCCUUUUCCUUAUUUGCCAGCGGGUUAAGCCGGGAACUUUAAGGAUACUGCCAGUGACAAACUGGAGGAAGGCGGGGACGACGUCAAGUCAUCAUGGCCCUUACGACCAGGGCUACACACGUGCUACAAUGGUCGGUACAAAGGGUUGCUACCUCGCGAGAGGAUGCUAAUCUCAAAAAGCCGAUCGUAGUCCGGAUGGAGUCUGCAACUC
This 749-nucleotide ribosomal RNA is filed under the name Acinetobacter lwoffii. Its description in RNAcentral is "bacterial SSU rRNA". It matches the Rfam family "Bacterial small subunit ribosomal RNA", at positions 564 to 1313 of the family's 1533-position model. Lineage: Bacteria; Pseudomonadati; Pseudomonadota; Gammaproteobacteria; Moraxellales; Moraxellaceae. The record is from RNAcentral.